UGUUCAAGGGCACAGUGCGCUCCAACCUGGACCCCUUUGGCGAACAGCCCGACGGCGAGCUGUGGCGCGCGCUGGAGCUGGUGCACCUGAAGGAGGCGGUCGCGGAGCUGGGCGGGCUGGACAGCGCCGUGGCGGAGGGAGGCUCCAACUUCUCGCUGGGCCAGAAGCAGCUGGUGUGCAUGGCGCGCUGUGUGCUCAAGCGCACACGCAUCCUGGUGCUGGACGAGGCCACGGCGGCCAUGGACCUGCAGACGGACGCGCUGAUCCAGAAGACCAUCCGCAAGGCCUUCGCGGACCGCACCACCGUCACCAUUGCGCACCGCCUGGACACCAUCAUCUUCUCCGACCGCAUCCUGGCCAUGGCGGCGGGCCAGCUCAAGGAGUUUGACUCGCCCACCACGCUGCUCAAGAGCCCCGCCAGCUUC
Molecule: long non-coding RNA, 425 nt
Filed under: Chlamydomonas reinhardtii
Lineage: Eukaryota; Viridiplantae; Chlorophyta; Chlorophyceae; Chlamydomonadales; Chlamydomonadaceae
Description: long non-coding RNA (CREI_LNC001370)
Source: RNAcentral